Molecule: ribosomal RNA, 496 nt
Filed under: uncultured bacterium
Lineage: Bacteria
Description: partial 16S ribosomal RNA
Rfam family: Bacterial small subunit ribosomal RNA
Source: RNAcentral
AUGAACGCUGGCGGCGUGCCUAAUACAUGCAAGUCGCGCGAACGGACGAGAAGCUUGCUUCUCUGAUGUUAGCGGCGGACGGGUGAGUAACACGUGGAUAACCUACCUAUAAGACUGGGAUAACUUCGGGAAACCGGAGCUAAUACCGGAUAAUAUUUUGAACCGCAUGGUUCAAAAGUGAAAGACGGUCUUGCUGUCACUUAUAGAUGGAUCCGCGCUGCAUUAGCUAGUUGGUAAGGUAACGGCUUACCAAGGCAACGAUGCAUAGUCGACCUGAGAGGGUGAUCGGCCACACUGGAACUGAGACACGGUCCAGACUCCUACGGGAGGCAGCAGUAGGGAAUCUUCCGCAAUGGGCGAAAGCCUGACGGAGCAACGCCGCGUGAGUGAUGAAGGUCUUCGGAUCGUAAAACUCUGUUAUUAGGGAAGAACAUAUGUGUAAGUAACUGUGCACAUCUUGACGGUACCUAAUCAGAAAGCCACGGCUAACUACGUG